GGUUGAUUUUGGAGGACUCUGCGAAUUUUAAGUUUCUGAAACGAAAUAGCUAGACUAAUUAUCUGUUUAUAGAAUUGAUGUUCGAAAUCAUGGUUUCUGAGUGAACUUCAUUGGAGCAGAAAAUCUUGGAGGGAACAUCAAUACUAUUCUAAUGACAUUCCAUAGGAAUAAAAAUCCAAUGGGACCAAGUUCUUAGCAGUUCACACCUAGUCAGAAGUACAAAAUUGAGAACCAUGCCGAUCAGCAAGUGUUAGUUACAAUCUAAUGAGGAGCAGGAUAUCUGAAUGGAAAAAAUGCAAGGUUUCCCACUUCCCAAGCUGUUUAAGUACUGGUAUCACAACGUAAGUGCCAAGAAGAGAUAUGAAGGCCAAGUUAAUAAAAAGUAGUUACUUCAUUGCAAUAACUCAUUAAAAAUGAAUUAAUUUGAAAUAAAUAUAUAUUAAUAAAGCAUUGAAUGUUACUUAAACUACACAUCUGUAGAUAAGAGUGCGGCACAAGUUCAGGUUCAUCACAGGGGCCUUGGAACGGUUUUCAAAGUGGGGGGCUGACCAUGCAAAAAAUCACAAUCGUAUGGUCAUUUUUACAUUUUUGUACAUGGUUUUGGAAAAAAGUGGGGGGCUGAAGCCCGCCGCCCCCCCCCCCCUUCCACGGCCCCUGCAUCACCGGGCAAUGACAUUGAAGUAUACAAGUUUUGGUACAAAAUUUCACACAAAAUACAAGUAAGAAAUAUUUUUCC
Lytechinus pictus (painted urchin) is the source of this 736-nucleotide long non-coding RNA. RefSeq lists it as uncharacterized. NCBI's taxonomy places the organism in Eukaryota, Metazoa, Echinodermata, Echinoidea, Temnopleuroida, Toxopneustidae. The record is from RefSeq and is a predicted model, not a curated record. The transcript has 3 exons.